ACGAGGAGUCGCCGUCGACGAUGAGUCCAAAUCUUUGGUCUCAGAAAUCAGAAUUUCUGAGCAGCAUAUAGUGGACUAGUGACUGGUGUGGUGAGUGCCUUUCUCAGUUUCUUUUACUCCCCUUCUCUCUUUUUUUGUUGUUUUUGUUUUUGUUCUAUAUGCUGACUUGUUGAAUGUUGAGUGUUGUUUGGUAUUUCUUUGAUUUGUGUUAUU
RNAcentral lists this long non-coding RNA (213 nucleotides) under Olea europaea (common olive). RNAcentral's name for it is "long non-coding RNA (OEUR_LNC008766)". The record is from RNAcentral. Lineage: Eukaryota; Viridiplantae; Streptophyta; Magnoliopsida; Lamiales; Oleaceae.